This 63-nucleotide small nuclear RNA is filed under the name Carlito syrichta (Philippine tarsier). Its description in RNAcentral is "U7 small nuclear RNA (ENSTSYG00000033441.1)". It matches the Rfam family "U7 small nuclear RNA". Rfam says of the family: Animal histone pre-mRNAs are spliced by a different mechanism than nuclear pre-mRNAs and self-splicing introns. This processing involves the U7 snRNP, which contains only one RNA species: U7. Lineage: Eukaryota; Metazoa; Chordata; Mammalia; Primates; Tarsiidae. The record is from Rfam by way of RNAcentral.
AAAUGGUACGGGUCUUCUAGAAUUUGUCUAGCAGGUUUUCCAGUUUUGACCAGAAAGACCCCA